This 253-nucleotide ribosomal RNA is filed under the name uncultured bacterium. RNAcentral's name for it is "partial 16S ribosomal RNA". It matches the Rfam family "Bacterial small subunit ribosomal RNA", at positions 524 to 776 of the family's 1533-position model. The record is from RNAcentral.
GACGGAGGGGGCUAGCGUUGUUCGGAAUUACUGGGCGUAAAGCGUGCGUAGGCGGCUAUGUAAGACAGAUGUGAAAUCCCUGGGCUUAACCUAGGAACUGCAUUUGUGACUGCAUUGCUAGAGUGUGGUAGAGGGAGAUGGAAUUCCGCAUGUAGCAGUGAAAUGCGUAGAUAUGCGGAGGAACACCAAUGGCGAAGGCAAUCUCCUGGACCUGCACUGACGCUCAUGCACGAAAGCGUGGGGAGCAAACAGG